RNAcentral lists this ribosomal RNA (592 nucleotides) under Candida albicans. Its description in RNAcentral is "eukaryotic LSU rRNA". It matches the Rfam family "Eukaryotic large subunit ribosomal RNA", at positions 40 to 647 of the family's 3401-position model. Lineage: Eukaryota; Fungi; Ascomycota; Pichiomycetes; Serinales; Debaryomycetaceae. The record is from RNAcentral.
AUAUCAAUAAGCGGAGGAAAAGAAACCAACAGGGAUUGCCUCAGUAGCGGCGAGUGAAGCGGCAAAAGCUCAAAUUUGAAAUCUGGCGUYUUUGGCGUCCGAGUUGUAAUUUGAAGAAGGUAUCUUUGGGCCCGGCUCUUGUCUAUGUUCCUUGGAACAGGACGUCACAGAGGGUGAGAAUCCCGUGCGAUGAGAUGACCCGGGUCUGUGUAAAGUUCCUUCGACGAGUCGAGUUGUUUGGGAAUGCAGCUCUAAGUGGGUGGUAAAUUCCAUCUAAAGCUAAAUAUUGGCGAGAGACCGAUAGCGAACAAGUACAGUGAUGGAAAGAUGAAAAGAACUUUGAAAAGAGAGUGAAAAAGUACGUGAAAUUGUUGAAAGGGAAGGGCUUGAGAUCAGACUUGGUAUUUUGCAUGCUGCUCUCUCGGGGGCGGCCGCUGCGGUUUACCGGGCCAGCAUCGGUUUGGAGCGGCAGGAUAAUGGCGGAGGAAUGUGGCACGGCUUCUGCUGUGUGUUAUAGCCUCUGACGAUACUGCCAGCCUAGACCGAGGACUGCGGUUUUUACCUAGGAUGUUGGCAUAAUGAUCUUAAGUCG